AUUGAACGCUGGCGGCAGGCUUAACACAUGCAAGUCGAGCGGGGGAAGGUAGCUUGCUACCGGACCUAGCGGCGGACGGGUGAGUAAUGCUUAGGAAUCUGCCUAUUAGUGGGGGACAACAUCUCGAAAGGGAUGCUAAUACCGCAUACGUCCUACGGGAGAAAGCAGGGGAUCUUCGGACCUCGCGCUAAUAGAUGAGCCUAAGUCGGAUUAGCUAGUUGGUGGGGUAAAGGCCUACCAAGGCGACGAUCUGUAGCGGGUCUGAGAGGAUGAUCCGCCACACUGGGACUGAGACACGGCCCAGACUCCUACGGGAGGCAGCAGUGGGGAAUAUUGGACAAUGGGGGGAACCCUGAUCCAGCCAUGCCGCGUGUGUGAAGAAGGCCUUAUGGUUGUAAAGCACUUUAAGCGAGGAGGAGGCUACUCUAGUUAAUACCUAGGGAUAGUGGACGUUACUCGCAGAAUAAGCACCGGCUAACUCUGAGCCAGCCGCCGCGGUAA
RNAcentral lists this ribosomal RNA (501 nucleotides) under uncultured bacterium. RNAcentral's name for it is "partial 16S ribosomal RNA". It matches the Rfam family "Bacterial small subunit ribosomal RNA", at positions 30 to 523 of the family's 1533-position model. The record is from RNAcentral.